CAGGUGGUCAUUCAACACAAACCAUGGAGGAUUUGCAUGUUCUUCAAACAGUAAAACAAAAGGAGGUGGGCUGUCACAUAUUGUCCAGGAGGAAAGAACAGUAGAUGCACAACUUAACACUUUGGAGGGCAAUAUCAACACCACAGGACCCCUAAAUCUUCAAACAUGAGGUCCGCUUCUGAACUUAGAGGAACUUGAUAUGCUGCUGUACUCUUUCCCUGAGGAUGGCAGCCCUCUCAUCAUGCUUGAAGACUUUAACAUCCACCUGGAGAAGCCCUACUGUAUGCUGUGGACCACACACUCACCUUCUUAUUCGACCUUACUCACCUCUCCACCGCUGCCACUCACAGUAUGAGCGCGGCAGUAAUUUUGAAGCACAGAUGCCUGCAGCGAUGGGGAAGAAUACAACACCAUAACCCCCUCUCAGAGGAGCACAGGUGAGACCUGAAGGAGGGCUACCAUUACCAAAGAAGAAAGUCUGUCCUUAUUGCUGUUUAUUUCGCAGUCUGAGCGAGAACUGUCAAAGCCCUGCAUCACACACUUCUGUGAGAUAAUACGCAUGGUUAUUAGACUCUGAAGUUAUUUGGAAAAGAGUAUUAUCUGAUAGAAAAUCCAGUUUUAGAUAGCAGCUGUGUUUUUGGAAACAGCAGUUGG
This is a long non-coding RNA of Paramisgurnus dabryanus, 654 nucleotides long. RefSeq lists it as uncharacterized. Lineage: Eukaryota; Metazoa; Chordata; Actinopteri; Cypriniformes; Cobitidae. The record is from RefSeq and is a predicted model, not a curated record.